Molecule: ribosomal RNA, 353 nt
Filed under: uncultured Methanomicrobiales archaeon
Lineage: Archaea; Methanobacteriati; Methanobacteriota; Methanomicrobia; Methanomicrobiales
Description: bacterial SSU rRNA
Rfam family: Archaeal small subunit ribosomal RNA
Source: RNAcentral
GAGGUGCAUGGCCGUCGUCAGUUCGUACUGUGAAGCAUCCUGUUAAGUCAGGCAACGAGCGAGACCCACGCCAACAGUUGCCAGCUCGUCCUCCGGGGAUGGUGGGGACACUGUUGGGACCGCCUCUGCUAAAGAGGAGGAAGGAAUGGGCAACGGUAGGUCAGCAUGCCCCGAAUUAUCUGGGCUACACGCGGGCUACAAUGGGUGGGACAAUGGGUAUCGACACCGAAAGGUGAAGGCAAUCUCCUAAACCCAUCCGUAGUUCGGAUUGUGGGCUGCAACUCGCCCACAUGAAGCUGGAAUCUGUAGUAAUCGUGUCUCAAAAUGGCACGGUGAAUAUGUCCCUGCUCCUU